GCAGAUAAAGAGAAGAGAGAAGGUAACAGCAUGAAGAAGACAUCUCCACGUCUCAACAUAGAGAGGAAGUCUUCAAUAGAGGAUGAGCCUCGCACUCUCAGGCUUGAUCAGUUCCAAUAUGCAAGGGGUGGAGAACUGGAUCUUGUUGUACUUAAUAUCUCCUAGGGGCUUGUUUCUUUCAUCUUUGGUGAAUGAAACGAGGAGGAAGCAUUAUGUGUGCUAAGCACCAAAACCAUAGAAGAGGCUCUUAAAAUAUUCACAGAUGGUCUGAAGCCAGUGCUCAGCAUAAGGGACAACAAGGAUUUGGAUGCUGAUGCUGAAAUGUUGGAUUGCGCAGAAAUGGAGCAUCUAAACCUCCCCUUGCUAAAGAGAGAAACAGUUUCCUCCCCUUUUUAGCUAGUCUUUGCGCAUAUGAUUGGUCCAAAUUUUCCUUUGAUCUCCUUAAUUUCUUAUUUUUCUAAGUUUUUUUUUUGAAAAUUUAAAUUUUUAUAUAAAGCAGGCAUGUUGAGUGGUGGUGGAAUAGCUUAUGUAGCUAUCCUCCAUAUGGGGCUCUUGAAGAACUACUCGGACUAUUUGAUCUUAUUUUCUUUUAGUUUUGUCACUUGUACAAACCUAAGAAGCUUCUGUACGGGAUGUUGUUAAAAGAAUUUCUAAUGAUGUCUACUAUAUGUUUUCCCAGCUAUGGUGCUGAAUAAGGACCUAGAAUUUUUGGCA
This is a non-coding RNA of Phoenix dactylifera (date palm), 714 nucleotides long. NCBI's taxonomy places the organism in Eukaryota, Viridiplantae, Streptophyta, Magnoliopsida, Arecales, Arecaceae. The record is from RefSeq and is a predicted model, not a curated record.